RNAcentral lists this transfer RNA (73 nucleotides) under Physcomitrium patens. RNAcentral describes it as "tRNA-Lys (TTT) (tRNA-Lys-TTT-3-1)". It matches the Rfam family "tRNA". Rfam says of the family: Transfer RNA (tRNA) molecules are approximately 80 nucleotides in length. Their secondary structure includes four short double-helical elements and three loops (D, anti-codon, and T loops). Lineage: Eukaryota; Viridiplantae; Streptophyta; Bryopsida; Funariales; Funariaceae. The record is from Rfam by way of RNAcentral. RNAcentral also lists the same sequence under 1 other name.
GCCGACCUAGCUCAGUUGGUAGAGCGCGUGGCUUUUAACCACGUGGUCGAGGGUUCGAGUCCCUCGGUCGGCG